Molecule: ribosomal RNA, 407 nt
Filed under: uncultured bacterium
Lineage: Bacteria
Description: partial 16S ribosomal RNA
Rfam family: Bacterial small subunit ribosomal RNA
Source: RNAcentral
AUUGAACGCUAGCGGGAUGCUUUACACAUGCAAGUCGAACGGAGUGGCGGACGGGUGAGUAAUAUAUCGGAACGUGCCCAGUCGCCGGGUCUAACUACUCUAAAGCGUGGCUAAUACUGCAUACUACUGGAUCGGCCGAUAUCGGAUUAGCUAGUUGGUGGGGUAAAGGCUCACCAAGGCAACGAUCCGUAGCUGGUAUGAGAGGACGACCAGCCACACUGGGACUGAGACACGGCCCAGACUCCUACGGGAGGCAGCAGUGGGGAAUUUUGGACAAUGGGGGAAAGCCUGAUCCAGCCAUCCCGCGUGUAUGAAGAAGGCCUUCGGGUUGUAAAGUACUGUUGGCAGAGAAGCGGUAUCUGCAGAAUAAGCACCGGCUGACUACGUGCCAGCAGCCGCGGUAAUUC